UUGUAUUUUGCUGUUGUUCUUUUGGUUUGCACUAGGAUGCAAAAGAAAAUAAUCCCUGUGCUUUCUGUCUGUCUGUGUGGCAGUCCAAAUUGAAUUGGGGAAUACAGCU
This 109-nucleotide small nucleolar RNA is filed under the name Urocitellus parryii (Arctic ground squirrel). RNAcentral's name for it is "Small nucleolar RNA SNORA31 (ENSUPAG00010006830.1)". It matches the Rfam family "Small nucleolar RNA SNORA31", at positions 20 to 130 of the family's 130-position model. From Rfam's summary of the family: ACA31 (SNORA31) belongs to the H/ACA class of snoRNAs which are thought to guide the sites of modification of uridines to pseudouridines. Lineage: Eukaryota; Metazoa; Chordata; Mammalia; Rodentia; Sciuridae. The record is from Rfam by way of RNAcentral.